RNAcentral lists this ribosomal RNA (497 nucleotides) under uncultured bacterium. RNAcentral describes it as "partial 16S ribosomal RNA". It matches the Rfam family "Bacterial small subunit ribosomal RNA", at positions 28 to 507 of the family's 1533-position model. The record is from RNAcentral.
GAUGAACGCUGGCGGCGUGCCUAAUACAUGCAAGUCGAGCGAACAGACGAGGAGCUUGCUCCUUCGACGUUAGCGGCGGACGGGUGAGUAACACGUAGGUAACCUACCUAUAAGACUGGGAUAACUUCGGGAAACCGGAGCUAAUACCGGAUAAUAUUUCGAACCGCAUGGUUCGAUAGUGAAAGAUGGCUUUGCUAUCACUUAUAGAUGGACCUGCGCCGUAUUAGCUAGUUGGUAAGGUAACGGCUUACCAAGGCAACGAUACGUAGCCGACCUGAGAGGGUGAUCGGCCACACUGGAGCUGAGACACGGUCCAGACUCCUACGGGAGGCAGCAGUAGGGAAUCUUCCGCAAUGGGCGAAAGCCUGACGGAGCAACGCCGCGUGAGUGAUGAAGGUCUUCGGAUCGUAAAACUCUGUUAUUAGGGAAGAACAAACGUGUAAGUAACUGUGCACGUCUUGACGGUACCUAAUCAGGAAGCCACGGCUAACUACGUG